CCUACGGGUGGCUGCAGUGGGGAAUAUUGCGCAAUGGGCGAAAGCCUGACGCAGCGACGCCGCGUGAGGGAUGAAGGUCUUCGGAUCGUAAACCUCUGUCAGCAGGGAAGAACGUCACUGUGCUAAUCAGCAGUGAAUUGACGGUACCUGCCAAGGCAGCACCGGCUAACUCCGUGCCAGCAGCCGCGGUAAUACGGAGGGUGCGAGCGUUAAUAGGAGUUACUGGGCGUAAAGCGCUCGUAGGCGGUAUGUCAAGUCAAGGGUGAAAGCCCGGGGCUCAACGUGGGAACUGCCUUGGAAACUGGCAAACUGGAGUGUGGGAGAGGAGAGUGGAAUUCCAGGUGUAGGAGUGAAAUGCGUAGAUAUCUGGAGGAACAUCAGUGGCGAAGGCGACUAUCUGGCACAUAACUGACGCUGAGGAGCGAAAGCGUGGGUAGCAAACAGGAUUAGAUACCCUUGUAGUC
This 464-nucleotide ribosomal RNA is filed under the name uncultured bacterium. RNAcentral's name for it is "partial 16S ribosomal RNA". It matches the Rfam family "Bacterial small subunit ribosomal RNA", at positions 338 to 795 of the family's 1533-position model. The record is from RNAcentral.